UUGGAGGGCAAGUCUGGUGCCAGCAGCCGCGGUAAUUCCAGCUCCAAUAGCAUAUAUUAAAGUUGUUGCAGUUAAAAAGCUCGUAGUUGAAUUUCGGGAUCAAGGAAUCGGUCAUGCCUUGGUAUGUACUGGUUUUAUUGGUUCUCACCUUCUAAAGAACCAUAAUGUCAUUUAUUUGAUGUUAUGGGGAAUUAGGACUGUUACCUUGAAAAAAUUAGAGUGUUUAAAGCAAGCUUACGCUUGAAUACAUUAGCAUGGAAUAAUGAAAUAGGACAUCAGAUUCUAUUUUGUUGGUUUCUAGGAUCGAUGUAAUGAUUAAUAGGGAUAGUUGGGGGCAUUAGUAUUCAAUUGUCAGAGGUGAAAUUCUUGGAUUUAUUGAAGACUAACUACUGCGAAAGCAUUUGCCAAGGAUGUUUUCAUUAAUCAAGAACGAAAGUUAGGGGAUCGAAGACGAUCAGAUACCGUCGUAGUCUUAACCAUAAACUAUGCCGACUAGGGAUCGGAUGAUGUUAAUUUUUUAAUGACUCAUUCGGCGCCUUACGGGAAAC
This 548-nucleotide ribosomal RNA is filed under the name uncultured Glomeromycotina. RNAcentral's name for it is "SSU rRNA". It matches the Rfam family "Eukaryotic small subunit ribosomal RNA", at positions 548 to 1098 of the family's 1831-position model. The record is from RNAcentral. Lineage: Eukaryota; Fungi; Glomeromycota.